RNAcentral lists this long non-coding RNA (310 nucleotides) under Chinchilla lanigera (long-tailed chinchilla). RNAcentral describes it as "lncRNA (ENSCLAG00000027893.1)". The record is from RNAcentral. Lineage: Eukaryota; Metazoa; Chordata; Mammalia; Rodentia; Chinchillidae.
CCCCUUUAAGUGGACACCAGACCCUAAACUUGCUCUUGUUUCCUACAGCAGAGACCCAGCCCUCCCCCACCCAGGGGAAGUGAACUGCUUGAGAGUAAUUCCCUCCACGCCCACCAGAUUUGGCAGAUCUCCAAUUCAACUCAGGUCGCUGGAGGAGGGCUGCAGCCAAGUGCAUGGCUCAGCUACAGAGCAUCCUGGCUUCCGUCCUUCCAUGUUUGUUAAAGAAAACAAAGAACCAGGGUAACUACUUGUCCUCCAGAGCCAAACCUCCACCACUCUCCUAAGCCAGCAGGAAGAGGAGUGUUCCCGC